RNAcentral lists this unclassified non-coding RNA (367 nucleotides) under Bombus terrestris (buff-tailed bumblebee). RNAcentral's name for it is "misc RNA ENSBTSG00005030464.1". Lineage: Eukaryota; Metazoa; Arthropoda; Insecta; Hymenoptera; Apidae. The record is from RNAcentral.
CUGACCGAACCAAGGGCUCGGUGCAGUGGAUAUAUCUGGAGAACGAACCGUGAAUACGAGUCGUGGUACGCUCGUAAAAAGAAAGGAUUUCUGGCGAACAGAUAAAGACACCUGCGAGCAACGAGAACUGCAGCUAUCCGAGUCUUCCAGAUUACGUAACGAUUCAUGCCUAACCGAGUGUGGGACUCGGUGUAUUUCAAGCAGUACACAUCGAGACCCUUAGAUUCAAAUCUCUCUUCGACGAACAAAAUCGUAUAAACUGCGAAGAUACGAUCUACAUCGGCCACGCCUCGAGAGAAGAUCGAACUGUCUCUACCGUAUACAUCGAAACGGUUUUUGACGUAUCCACGAGGAAUUAGCAUAAGGU